Molecule: ribosomal RNA, 468 nt
Filed under: uncultured bacterium
Lineage: Bacteria
Description: partial 16S ribosomal RNA
Rfam family: Bacterial small subunit ribosomal RNA
Source: RNAcentral
GACGAACGCUGGCGGCGUGCUUAACACAUGCAAGUCGAACGGAAAGGCCCUGCUUUUGUGGGGUGCUCGAGUGGCGAACGGGUGAGUAACACGUGAGUAACCUGCCCUUGACUUUGGGAUAACUUCAGGAAACUGGGGCUAAUACCGGAUAGGAGCUCCUGCUGCAUGGUGGGGGUUGGAAAGUUUCGGCGGUUGGGGAUGGACUCGCGGCUUAUCAGCUUGUUGGUGGGGUAGUGGCUUACCAAGGCUUUGACGGGUAGCCGGCCUGAGAGGGUGACCGGCCACAAUGGGACUGAGAUACGGCGCAGACUCCUACGGGAGGCAGCAGUGGGGAAUAUUGUACAAUGGGCGGAAGCCUGAUGCAGCAACGCCGCGUGCGGGAUGACGGCCUUCGGGUUGUAAACCGCUUUCGCCUGUGACGAAGCGUGAGUGACGGUAAUGGGUAAAGAAGCACCGGCUAACUACGUG